Molecule: ribosomal RNA, 579 nt
Filed under: uncultured bacterium
Lineage: Bacteria
Description: partial 16S ribosomal RNA
Rfam family: Bacterial small subunit ribosomal RNA
Source: RNAcentral
UGGGAAUUUUGGACAAUUGGGCGAAAGCCUGAUCCAGCAAUGCCGCGUGUGUGAAGAAGGCCUUCGGGUUGUAAAGCACUUUUGUCCGGAAAGAAAUCCUUGGCUCUAAUACAGUCGGGGGAUGACGGUACCGGAAGAAUAAGCACCGGCUAACUACGUGCCAGCAGCCGCGGUAAUACGUAGGGUGCAAGCGUUAAUCGGAAUUACUGGGCGUAAAGCGUGCGCAGGCGGUUUGCUAAGACCGAUGUGAAAUCCCCGGGCUCAACCUGGGAACUGCAUUGGUGACUGGCAGGCUAGAGUAUGGCAGAGGGGGGUAGAAUUCCACGUGUAGCAGUGAAAUGCGUAGAGAUGUGGAGGAAUACCGAUGGCGAAGGCAGCCCCUGGGCCAAUACUGACGCUCAUGCACGAAAGCGUGGGGAGCAAAACAGGAUUAGAUACCCUGGUAGUCCACGCCCUAAANGAUGUCAACUAGUUGUUGGGGAUUCAUUUCCUUAGUAACGUAGCUAACGCGUGAAGUUGACCGCCUGGGGAGUACGGUCGCAAGAUUAAAACUUAAAGGAAUUGACGGGGUCAUAGCUG